GAUGAACGCUAGCGGGAGGCCUAACACAUGCAAGCCGAGCGGGAUUUGUUGGUUAGCUUGCUAACUAACAAUGAGAGCGGCGUACGGGUGCGUAGCACGUGUGCAACCUGCCUUUAUCUGGGGGAUAGCCUUUCGAAAGGAAGAUUAAUACCCCAUAACAUAUUGAUUGGCAUCAGUUAAUAUUGAAAGCUCCGGCGGAUAGAGAUGGGCACGCGUAAGAUUAGCUAGUUGGUGAGGUAACGGCUCACCAAGGCUGCGAUUUUUAGGGGGCCUGAGAGGGUGAUCCCCCACACUGGUACUGAGACACGGACCAGACUCCUACGGGAGGCAGCAGUGAGGAAUAUUGGACAAUGGGUGAGAGCCUGAUCCAGCCAUCCCGCGUGAAGGACUAAGGACCUAUGGUUUGUAAACUUCUUUUAUACAGGGAUAAACCUACUCUCGUGAGGGUAGCUGAAGGUACUGUAUGAAUAAGCACCGGCUAACUCCGUG
Molecule: ribosomal RNA, 489 nt
Filed under: uncultured bacterium
Lineage: Bacteria
Description: partial 16S ribosomal RNA
Rfam family: Bacterial small subunit ribosomal RNA
Source: RNAcentral